Molecule: long non-coding RNA, 3882 nt
Organism: Gasterosteus aculeatus aculeatus (three-spined stickleback)
Lineage: Eukaryota; Metazoa; Chordata; Actinopteri; Perciformes; Gasterosteidae
Source: Ensembl
AAAAAGCUCACUUUUAAACCAUUUUGCAACGUCUUUUCAACCAAAAAAAGGCUCCCUGGGGACUUAUAAGAAGUCCUCCCUUCUUGGUGAAAGUAUAGCAACUACUCCGAUACAACAUGUCAGAAAGAUUACACAUGCGUUGGGUUUAUAUGAAUGACACUCACCACCCAACAAGGCGGAGACGACCGUCGCGUAGAAGAGCAACAUGUCCUGCAGAAUGAGGACAGGUUGUGCGUGUGAACGUGACCUCACGUACACUUCUCAAAAUUACUUAAAAAAGGGUCUCACUGUACAAUAAUUUCACGCCGUGUUUCGGUCGAGUUUGUUUUCUCGAGGAAGAACUGCAAUGGGCGGUAGUGAUGUGUCGUUCGUGAACGAUCCGUUCAUUUUGAACGAAUCCUUACAAGGAUUCGAGAGUUACGAGUCCUCUCAAAAAAAGAUUAGUUCAUUUUCUCGUGUCCACGCAUCGGGACUUGCAUAGGCUCAGCCAAGGAAACAGAAAUGAUUCGUUGAAUGCACGUCACGUGGUAAAUGAUCCUUCUGCCAACCAAGUGGUACCAGUGCUGAGCCGAUGCAGGUCACGUGAAAAAUGAACGAUGAACGAAUCAUUGACCCGAAGACUCGGUUGGCAGAUGAACGAAACAUUGACCCGAAGACACGGUCGGGAGGUGAACGAUUCGUUCAUCUGCCGGAUACAGAUCUUUAGAUCGUUUUUCACGUGACCUGCAUUGGUUUAGUAGAGGAAACAGUUACAUUAUUCCCUUUCACGUGACCGCUGUUUUUAGUUUUAAACGUGAAUUAUAUUCGUUCACAAGUCAUAAUGACUGGUUUUGUUAUUUUCACUUUACAUUUACACUUACAGUUUAGUGCAGUGUAAUAGUUAUGACGUGAUAAUUGAAUGCUAGUGUGAAAAUAAAUGAUCACUUCAAAUCAUCCAGACUGUAAUGAUACAUUAUUUUAAUGCAGGAAUUUAUCUUACCACUGACUCGAAAAAAGAUUUGUUCAUUUUUACUAAACGAGAUUCAAAGAUCCGAAUCGGUAAAAUGAUCCGAACUUCCCAUCACUACUAAUGGGCGGGGCUUCCGCGGUCCAGUUUAACAUAAAACCACUAAAACCAGUUGUGACGCUGUUUGCACACAAACCGACGCGUUGAUACGCUGAAUACAUGCGGAUUAAUGUGUCUAUGAUAACACAUAUUCUAUUGCAUUGUUUUAACUGAAGUAAUGUUUUGAUCUAAAAUCAUCUAUACAUUGAGAAUGAAUGUAGAAAUGACAGUACUUUCUUAAUAAAAUACUUUUUUUUGGCAAAUGACCGAGAAGGUGUUCGGUGUCCAGCCCACCGGGAGGAUCCCACGUAGUAACCGGGCACUCUCUUGCGCCAAUGGCGGACUUACACCCAGGAUCCGACCAACGUAACGGAGGCAUGUGACGCAUCUUGCGUAGGAGCUGCACAGAAUACAGGGCACCAUUUCCUUAAAUAAACCAAGCGAACCCACUGCACAUGCGCGCUCUGCAGAGGACGUUGUUAUCUCCUCGUCCCAUAAUCGCUCGCAGGUACCCAGCGGUGGAUGUACUGUAUUCUCCACGCAUCCAGGUGAAGAUGUCCUACAGUGCCAUGCUCGCCUUCCUUUCGGCCCUUCCUAUCUCUCUGGCAUGGGAUGCAUCAAGUAUAAGAGAAGAAGCCCAGAUUGUGUGUGCUGGGAGGGAAUUCCGUCUGCCGGUUUACUCCUCAUCCAGAAUGGUGACUUUUACACCAAACCCCGAGGGGCCACGCCGCGUCCUGCUGGACAAAACCAUUGUGAAGGACCCGCGGUUUGAGUGGACCAGAGACAGGAUGCUGGUUCUGAGAGAAGUGACUCACGAUGAUGAGGGGCUUUACGCCAUCAAACUGGUCUCUGGAUUCACCUACGAGGCCGUUCGUUUGAUUGUUUCAGAAUGCAUCAAGUCCUACCACGGAAAAUACGGCGAUAAGUUUGAGCACAGCAUCCCCGAAAACGGCUCCCUGCUGGAGUUCUCUCCCCGGGGCGCUCCGCCGGAGGCCAUGCCGGUCCUUCUGUGGAACCGGACCGACCCCGUGACCAGCGAUGCCGGCCGUGGCCGGCUGCGCGCGGGGAAAGUGUGGGUGGCUGAGAGGGUGACGCAAGCGGACCAGGGCAACUACACUGUGAGGGACAGCAAGGGGAGGGUCCUGCACCGCAGCUCCCUCAGCGUCCGCGAGCACUCCUUCAAUGUCACCCGCUUUACCAAGGAGUCUCUAAACCUGCCCCUCUUUCUUCCUGUCCCGCAUGUCCACCUCAUUUUUACCCCUACCCGAUUCCUUGACGAAUCCUCCCCGGGCCAUUUUGACCCCAAACCCCCCCGUGGUCCAGUGCAGCUGAUCCGUGAGGGCCACAUACUGGACCACGACAUGCGCUACAGGGGCCUCAUCUCGCUGGUCAGGAAUGGCAGCAUCAACGAGGUCGCCAUAGUGAGGCUGAAUUCAAGGCACGAUGGGUUUUAUGAAAUCAGGGACGUGGUCGGCAACCUGGUAUCCUCCACCUGGCUGCAGGUGAUUGAAAAGGGAGGCAGAUGGCGAGCGCUUCUCAGAUCCAUCACCGUCCCUUCUGGCUUGUUCGUGUCGCUGGUCGGUUUCAUCCUGUUCAUGAGGCGAUAUCCAAACUGCAGCCUGUCGCAGCUCGUCGCUGUCCUCAGAAUAAACCGCACGCCUCCAGCCAACCCUCCGAGGGUCAACAUCCAGGAUUACAGCCAGCCCAGCCCUCGGCCCUCCGGCUACCACGCGCACGCUGACCCGCCUGUAACGCCAAGAAAAUGCACCCCCAGCGCCAGUCCUACUCACGCCGGUUACUGUCCAGUUAUGGCAGGAACCGCCGAGAAUCAGGAAGCAAACACGUCGGCAGCAACGAGCUCCCCUCGUCCUCGUCGUCAUUCAACCUCGGAGCCGGACUCAUCUCACUACAAUGAGGAAGAGAGAAGGAUUUCCUUUUUGAUGCCCGGGGCUUCGGACUGUCUCCACUCCUCUGAAGACUGUGUUAAAUUCCAGAUAAAAAAAGAUGGGGAUAAUGGCAGGAGGAGCACGUCACGAGGUUACUUUUCCACUCUGCCACUAGACAGGGACACCUCUGAAUCCUGCAGUGUUUACACUUCAGAAAAACUCAACUUCUUAUAAAACACAGAACUGGAGCUGAAGGAAGAACAACAAGAAGAAAGAAGAAGAACAACAAGAUAUGGAGCAACUACAGUAUUGGAUUAUGAAAAUAAAUAACCCACCUGUGCCUUUAUGCAUAUUAGCCUAAUUUGAAUGGUAUGAUAAUUGCAUGCCCUUUUUUCAUGUUUGAGCAUUAGCUGAUCUGUCUCCUAUUUCACAUUUCUUGACGCUGAGGAUGGUGCUCCUGAAAUAUCCUGCUGUUACCUACCUCCAGACCCUCAGGACCAGUAUGAUCUGCACUGUAUUUGCUGAGUGUUGGUACGAGUGUGCUUGUGAUGUGAUGUCUAGGGCUACAUAGAAAUAAGAGUUGCGAUUAUUCAAAGGUUUACAAAAGGGAAUUCUAAAGUACUGUACAGUGAUAGAGAGAUUGUUUAUGUCUUUUUCCAUCCACCAUUUCCAAAUGCAACAACAAUUAAUAUCAUGUUCAAUGUCUGCUCAGCGGUUCAGUGGUUUUUCUGUGAUAGUGUAUUAACCCUCAAGGUAAUUGUAGUAAUAGCUUUGUGAAUUGUAACAUGAUCUACCACAUAUUCCAAUAGCCUGUUGUUCUAUAAACUCUGUGUAUGGGAUAAUAUCAUCACCAAAGCUUUCUAUUGACAAGAGAUUAGAGACUUUGGCUUGUGACAUUUUUGAACAUUCAAAACGUUACCUCUUAGACAAUAAAUUCAUGUUUAACACACA